RNAcentral lists this ribosomal RNA (190 nucleotides) under Euaesthetus sp. BT-2011. Its description in RNAcentral is "partial 28S ribosomal RNA". It matches the Rfam family "Eukaryotic large subunit ribosomal RNA", at positions 663 to 817 of the family's 3401-position model. Lineage: Eukaryota; Metazoa; Arthropoda; Insecta; Coleoptera; Staphylinidae. The record is from RNAcentral.
GGACCAAGGAGUCUAGCAUGUGCGCGAGUCAUUGGGACCUAUUAAUCCCAAAGGCGUAAUGAAAGUGAAGGUUCGCACUUGUGCUUACCGUGGGAAGAUGGGCGUUCCGUUUAGCGUUCGCCUCGCAUUCCCGGGGCGUUUCGUACUCAUUGCGAGUUGAGGCGCACCCUGAGCGUACACGCUGGGACCC